Molecule: long non-coding RNA, 508 nt
Organism: Calidris pugnax (ruff)
Lineage: Eukaryota; Metazoa; Chordata; Aves; Charadriiformes; Scolopacidae
Exons: 4
Source: RefSeq, a predicted model, not a curated record
UCUGGUUUGCACCAGGAUGAAGAGGAUCAGAACUCACGUGAGCCGGGAGAAGGAAAUAAUAGACUGGGAUGAGAAGUGUCUGGAAAAAGGAAAGCUCAUCUUCAUAUCCAGAAGGAGGGAGAGAAACUGUGCCAGAAUGAAUGACUGCUGUAGAGUAGAGCACAUGAGCCAGUUCAGCCUAUGUAAAAUAGGAGUUUAUCAUAUCACUGAAAGGAGUUCUCAUCACCCUGGGAAGAAGAAAUUUCACUGCAAUUCAGACAUCUUUAUGACAUAUUAGUGUACCAUGGAUUCAGACAUGCCAUGUCCUACCAACCCAAGAAACUUCAACCAGAACUGAACUGUGCUGGAGGACAGGAAAUCAUGGGAAGCAGGAGGACUUGAAUUAAGAGGAAGGGAUUUGUUUUUCUUCUGUUUGGAUACCAGUGCCUGUUGAGCUACGGUGACAUACUGUACAAUCUGUGCUUCUCAUUAUGCAACUAAGCAAAAGGAAGACCUGCAAAAGAUUAAA